This 178-nucleotide ribosomal RNA is filed under the name uncultured bacterium. Its description in RNAcentral is "partial 16S ribosomal RNA". It matches the Rfam family "Bacterial small subunit ribosomal RNA", at positions 1315 to 1500 of the family's 1533-position model. The record is from RNAcentral.
ACUCCAUGAAGCUGGAUUCGCUAGUAAUCGCGCAUCAGCCACGGCGCGGUGAAUACGUUCCCGGGCCUUGUACACACCGCCCGUCAAGCCAUGGGAGCCGGGGGUACCUGAAGUGCGUGACCGCAAGGAGCGCCCUAAGGUAAAACCGGUGACUGGGGCUAAGUCGUAACAAGGUACC